UAUUCCAGCAGCCGCGGUAAUACGUUCCCGGGUCUUGUACUCACCGCCCGUCACACCACGAGAGUUUACAACACCCGAAGCCGGUGGGGUAACCCGCAAGGGAGCUAGCCGUCGAAGGUGGGGUAGAUGAUUGGGGUGAAGUCGUAACAAGGUAGCCGUAUCGGAAGGUGCGGCUGGAUCACCUCCUUUCUAAGGAUAUACCUCAUCUCGCAGAAGAUGAGAUACCGUUCGACGACGCGAAUCUAUUUGUUCAGUUUUGAUGGAAUUUGAUUAUAUGGGGACAUAGCUCAGCUGGGAGAGCGCCUGCCUUGCACGCAGGAGGUCAGGAGUUCGAUCCUCCUUGUCUCCACCAAUUAUAUUUCAUCUUUGCACCUUGAAAACUGGAUAGCGAAACAAAGCAUAGUAACGUCCUUUAGCUGGGAUAGUGAAACAUGGAUGUUUUUUCUUUAUGAAAAGACAUCUAAAGGAAACGUAUUUUUCUUUCGGAGAAAACGUUCCGCUGAAUGCUGCAUUCGAUUCCUUGAAUCGAACGCAAACCAAUCAGCGUAGGUUAAGCUACUAAGAGCGCACGGAGGAUACCUAGGCACACAGAGA
Molecule: unclassified non-coding RNA, 594 nt
Filed under: uncultured Paenibacillus sp.
Lineage: Bacteria; Bacillati; Bacillota; Bacilli; Caryophanales; Paenibacillaceae
Description: partial contains 16S ribosomal RNA, 16S-23S ribosomal RNA intergenic spacer, and 23S ribosomal RNA
Rfam family: Bacterial small subunit ribosomal RNA (bases 1-189)
Source: RNAcentral